RNAcentral lists this ribosomal RNA (433 nucleotides) under uncultured bacterium. Its description in RNAcentral is "partial 16S ribosomal RNA". It matches the Rfam family "Bacterial small subunit ribosomal RNA", at positions 29 to 507 of the family's 1533-position model. The record is from RNAcentral.
AACGAACGCUGGCGGCAUGCCUAACACAUGCAAGUCGAACGAGACCUUCGGGUCUAGUGGCGCACGGGUGCGUAACGCGUGGGAACCUGCCCUUAGGUUCGGAAUACCUCCCCGAAAGGGGUGCUAAUACCGGAUAAUGUCUUCGGACCAAAGAUUUAUCGCCUUUGGAUGGGCCCGCGUUGGUUUAGCUAGUUGGUAGGGUAAAAGCCUCCCAAGGCGACGAUCCAUCGCUGGUCUGAGAGGAUGAUCAGCCACACUGGGACUGAGACACGGCCCAGACUCCUACGGGAGGCAGCAGUGGGGAAUAUUGGACAAGGGGCGAAAGCCUGAUCCAGCAAUGCCGCGUGAGUGAUGAAGGCCUUAGGGUUGUAAAGCUCUUUUACCCGGGAUGAUAAUGACAGUACCGGGAGAAUAAGCUCCGGCUAACUCCGUG